RNAcentral lists this transfer RNA (69 nucleotides) under Notocomplana palta. Its description in RNAcentral is "tRNA-Leu". The record is from RNAcentral. Lineage: Eukaryota; Metazoa; Platyhelminthes; Polycladida; Notocomplanidae.
GUUUGAUUAUUUUUAUAUUUUUUUAUAUAUUGAUAUGGUUAUAAAACUUAAUAUUUGGUGUGGCAGAAG